RNAcentral lists this long non-coding RNA (576 nucleotides) under Sinocyclocheilus grahami. RNAcentral describes it as "lncRNA (ENSSGRG00000013434.1)". Lineage: Eukaryota; Metazoa; Chordata; Actinopteri; Cypriniformes; Cyprinidae. The record is from RNAcentral.
GGUCCACCUGUACAUACACGUCCCAGAGCGAGAGACCGCGGUCAUUACAAACCUGGAAGGGCAUUAGCAAAGCCUACAGGGAACCGGAAACCAGCAGCAGACACAAUGACAUGAGAUUAGUAAUGAGUGAAGCCCUUAAACGUGACGUCGACGCGACAGAAACCAGCCGUGCCCUUCCCAGCUUUCACAGGAACAUGAUGAAAGCAAGAGUGAAAUGGCUCAGGUGAACUUCCUCAGUAUCUGAGAUCACACUUCACAGAAGUUACGUUGCCAGGUGUGACAUCAGCACAGACCAAACAAACGCCGAGCUUUAGGGAGGGUCAGAUUCCAUCUGCACCUGCGGAGCUUCACCUGUUUGACAAUCUCUGGACUUUAACACUCGGGAUCUACGACGGACUCUGUACUGCAGAAGCAGAGCUCAAAAACAAGACAGAACUGCAAAGAUCUCUUGGGUUACGAAACACCUCUAACGUUAGCUGGCUUCAGACCUCAGAUGUUCAGAUGUGGGCGUGAAACACCUGCACACCUUUCCAGAACCAAGCUUUCUGCCACCAGCUGACGCUCAUCCCUUGCUGU